AGAGUGGACGCUGGCGGCAGGCCUAACACAUGCAAGUCGAACGGCAGCACAGUAAGAGCUUGCUCUUAUGGGUGGCGAGUGGCGGACGGGUGAGGAAUACAUCGGAAUCUGCCUAUUUGUGGGGGAUAACGUAGGGAAACUUACGCUAAUACCGCAUACGACCUACGGGUGAAAGCGGAGGACCUUCGGGCUUCGCGCAGAUAGAUGAGCCGAUGUCGGAUUAGCUAGUUGGUGGGGUAAAGG
RNAcentral lists this ribosomal RNA (243 nucleotides) under uncultured soil bacterium. RNAcentral describes it as "partial 16S ribosomal RNA". It matches the Rfam family "Bacterial small subunit ribosomal RNA", at positions 26 to 263 of the family's 1533-position model. The record is from RNAcentral.